RNAcentral lists this transfer RNA (64 nucleotides) under Coleoptera sp. UPOL MT0009. RNAcentral's name for it is "tRNA-Leu". The record is from RNAcentral. Lineage: Eukaryota; Metazoa; Arthropoda; Insecta; Coleoptera.
UUACUUUGGCAGAUUAGUGUAUUUGAUUUAGAAUCAUUUUAAGUGAAUUUUUUACAAGUAAUAN